RNAcentral lists this ribosomal RNA (393 nucleotides) under uncultured bacterium. RNAcentral's name for it is "bacterial SSU rRNA". It matches the Rfam family "Bacterial small subunit ribosomal RNA", at positions 335 to 722 of the family's 1533-position model. The record is from RNAcentral.
ACUCCUACGGGAGGCAGCAGUAGGAAUCUUCCACAAUGGACGAAAGUCUGAUGGAGCAACGCCGCGUGAGUGAAGAAGGUUCUCGGAUCGUAAACUCUGUUGUGAGGGAAGAACAAGUACCGGAGUAACUGCCGGUACCUUGACGGUACCUCAUUAGAAAGCCACGGCUAACUACGUGCCAGCAGCCGCGGUAAUACGUAGGUGGCAAGCGUUGUCCGGAAUCAUUGGGCGUAAAGCGCGCGCAGGCGGUCCUCAAGUCAUGNUGUGAAGAACCCCGGCUCAACCGUGGAGGUCAUUGGAAACAUGGGUGGCUUGAGUGCAGAAGAGGAAAGCGGAAUUCCAAGUGUAGCGGUGAAAUGCGUAGAGAUUUGGAGGAACACCAGUGGCGAAGGC